Molecule: ribosomal RNA, 377 nt
Filed under: uncultured bacterium
Lineage: Bacteria
Description: bacterial SSU rRNA
Rfam family: Bacterial small subunit ribosomal RNA
Source: RNAcentral
UAAUACAGAGACUGCAAGCGUUAUUCGGAUUCACUGGGCGUAAAGGGUGCGCAGGCGGCCAUGUGUGUCAGGUGUGAAAGCCCGAGGCUCAACCUCGGAAUUGCGCCUGAAACUACAUGGCUAGAGUACUGGAGAGGGUAGCGGAAUUCAUGGUGUAGCAGUGAAAUGCGUAGAUAUCAUGAGGAACACCAGAGGCGAAGGCGGCUACCUGGACAGUUACUGACGCUCAGGCACGAAAGCGUGGGGAGCAAAAGGGAUUAGAUACCCCUGUAGUCCACGCCCUAAACGGUGCACACUAGGUCUUGGCGGAUUCGACCCCACCAGGGCCCAAGCUAACGCGUUAAGUGUGCCGCCUGAGGACUACGGCCGCAAGGCUA